CCUACGGGGUGCAGCAGUGGGGGAUAUUGCACAAUGGGGGGAACCCUGAUGCAGCGACGCCGCGUGUGGGAAGACGGUCCUCUGGAUUGUAAACCACUGUCCCCAGGGACGAAAAUGACGGUACCUGGGGAGGACGCUCCGGCUAACUACGUGCCAGCAGCCGCGGUAAUCCGUAGGGAGCGAGCGUUGUCCGGAAAUACUGGGUGUAAAGGGAGCGUAGGCGGGGAUGCAAGUUGGGUGUCAAAACUACCGGCUCAACUGGUAGUCGCACUCAAAACUGCAGCUCUUGAGUGCAGUAGAGGCAGGCGGAAUUCCUAGUGUAGCGGUGAAAUGCGUAGAUAGUAGGAGGAACACCAGUGGCGAAGGCGGCCUGCUGGGCUUUUACUGACGCUGAGGCUCGAAAGUGUGGGGAGCAAACAGGAUUAGAUACCCUGGUAGUC
Molecule: ribosomal RNA, 440 nt
Filed under: uncultured bacterium
Lineage: Bacteria
Description: partial 16S ribosomal RNA
Rfam family: Bacterial small subunit ribosomal RNA
Source: RNAcentral